Molecule: long non-coding RNA, 884 nt
Filed under: Medicago truncatula (barrel medic)
Lineage: Eukaryota; Viridiplantae; Streptophyta; Magnoliopsida; Fabales; Fabaceae
Description: long non-coding RNA (MTRU_LNC001741)
Source: RNAcentral
AACUCCAACCGCUUUGAAUGCAUGAAAAUAGCAUCGGAGUAUGGCAAAUACAAACCUACCACCGCAGCAAAAACACCAGAAUCGCAAAGCUGCCCAAAGAAAAUAUCUAAAAUUCAUCAACAUUUAUCUAUUGAAAUACCCGAGAUGACUUCUUUAGUACCGAGUUUCACUUCGUGGCAACAUUUAUCGAGAAAAAAAAAAAUCUCUUUUCAUUACACUCAUGCUUAAUCUUCAUGAGCCUUUUGGUUUCCUCCCAAGACUUAUGGAGAACAAAACUGUUUGUCAUAAUAUUUGCACGAGUAAGUUUUCGACUUCCAAGAAAAGUUUCUCUCUGCUUCACGCUCAUGCGUUUGAGCCUUUUGAUGACCUCCUAAAGCAUUGUUGAGAACGAAAAUGUCUAUCACAAUAUGGGUAAGUUUUCAACUUCGAAGACUUAUCUUCAAGUUUCUUUUCAUUUUUGAGUUUGUUAUUAGCUCAACUUAGCGAGAUGAACCCACAUCCAAUUUCUUUGUUGGUGGAAAUAGUAAUAUUCUUGCAUCCUGGACCAGGGGAUCAAAACAUCCCUGGAGAGGUCGAUGAAAUCAACGUGGGUAAAGUUUGAAGCUUGUUAAGAUUUUGCAACUUCCUUCUCCUUCAUCUUUACCACCUUGUUGUUGUUAUAAACAAAAGAGGAAAAAAAAACAUAUGUAUGAACAUUUUGUUAUGGAAAUCACAAUUUAUAUUCCGACAAAAAUUUGAAAAGUAGAUUAGGUAUAAGCUCCUCAUGAACAUUAGACCAUACCUAGCAAUACUCUCUUUUGUGCACUCUCUCUAGCACUCACUCUUUAUUGAGUGAAAUCAAUGUAUGUCCCACCACUUUAUGUGGGUUCCAUUUCCAAAGUGUA